Drosophila elegans is the source of this 1012-nucleotide long non-coding RNA. RefSeq lists it as uncharacterized. The transcript is spliced from 4 exons. The record is from RefSeq and is a predicted model, not a curated record. NCBI's taxonomy places the organism in Eukaryota, Metazoa, Arthropoda, Insecta, Diptera, Drosophilidae.
GCAGGCACAUCGAUGGGCAGUGCCAUCUAUGAGGCAAAAACCGAAAGUGUCGCCAUCUAGUGGUCAGUUGGGUGCCGCGAUUGGGGUAAGAAUUUUCGGAGACGAAGAGGCAACAGAGUCAAUUGUCAUGAUCCCGGAAAACGGAGAGUUAUUCUAUGGGGGCUAACUUAGCUUCCCGCCCAGAGCCACGAGCUGCUGGCUUUCUUUCCCUUUUCGGCAGCCAUCGAGUGCGGUUUAGUUCAGUUUGGCCUUGUGUAAAGUGACGGAUAGAAUAUCCAGAUUAUAUAUAUAGCGCUAAAUCCUGUUUAUGGGUUUGGCGCUUAGUAUCCGAUAUUGGAUCCGGCCGUUGCUGUAGAGGGAACGAUUCAUCAAGUCCCCCUAAAGAAGACCGAAGUCAUCCGACGGAGAAGGGAAAUUAUCGUCGCAUAAAUGGGUCUCAAAGGCCUAAGAGUUCCCUAAGAUAAUUAUUUAAUCAGCUUAAGUCGCUGGGAGCGGAGUUAGGACUAAGAGAGGGCAAAAGAGUCAAAAAGAACUCGAGAUGUAACACCUGCCCAAAUUACACAUAAUAUUUAUAUUCCCUCUUCAUCAUCUUCGUUAUCUCCCGCCUGCGAGCGAAACUUAGCGAAGCUCAGUUUGACAGGCAGUUUUUCGGCGCGCUGAUCUAGUUUAGACGUUUCGGUCCACGCUCGGACGAAAAUUUAAUUUAACUCGUCGAACAACAAUGCGGAAUAAUUGUUAAGUCGCCGCACGGAAUGUAAGGCAGUUCGGAAAGCCAAAGAUCGGUCGGAGUUCGCUGAAAGUGGAUAGUUUAUAAGCUAUUUCAUAAGUUUUUCUUUUCUUUUUUUUUGCGGUCUAGGUUAUGUGAAAUAAGCAGUGAGAGUGGAAAACCUAAGGUGCACUUACGGAAGCGCUUUCGUCGGUGGAUCUCCGGAAUGUUGGUGAGUCAGAUAUCACGUUUUAUUAAUAUGUCUUUGUAAAAUAUAUAUAUCAAAUGAAUUACUUUGCGUCCCAC